RNAcentral lists this ribosomal RNA (293 nucleotides) under uncultured bacterium. RNAcentral's name for it is "partial 16S ribosomal RNA". It matches the Rfam family "Bacterial small subunit ribosomal RNA", at positions 505 to 796 of the family's 1533-position model. The record is from RNAcentral.
GUGUCAGCAGCCGCGGUAAUACGAAGGUUGCAAGCGUUGUUCGGAAUCACUGGGCUUAAAGCGUAUGUAGGCGGCCCAUCAAGUGCCUUGUGAAAUCCCACGGCUCAACCGUGGAAUUGCUUGGCAUACUGUUAGGGCUUGAGGCAGGUAGGGGCUCGUGGAACUCUUGGUGGAGCGGUGGAAUGCGUAGAUAUCAAGAGGAACGCCGGUGGCGAAAGCGGCGAGCUGGGCCUGUCCUGACGCUGAGAUACGAAAGCCAGGGGAGCAAACGGGAUUAGAAACCCGCGUAGUCC